AUUGAACGCUGGUGGCAUGCUUUACACAUGCAAGUCGAACGGUAACAGGCCUUCGGGUGCUGACGAGUGGCGAACGGGUGAGUAAUGCAUCGGAACGUACCCAGAGGUGGGGGAUAACGCAGCGAAAGCUGUGCUAAUACCGCAUGUGAUCUGAGGAUGAAAGCGGGGGACCGAGCAGCAAUGUUUGGCCUCGCGCCUUUGGAGCGGCCGAUGUCGGAUUAGCUAGUUGGUGGGGUAAAGGCCUACCAAGGCGACGAUCCGUAGCUGGUCUGAGAGGACGACCAGCCACACUGGGACUGAGACACGGCCCAGACUCCUACGGGAGGCAGCAGUGGGGAAUUUUGGACAAUGGGCGCAAGCCUGAUCCAGCAAUGCCGCGUGCGGGAAGAAGGCCUUCGGGUUGUAAACCGCUUUUGGCAGGAACGAAACGGUGUCCGCUAAUACCGGGCGCUAAUGACGGUACCUGCAGAAUAAGCACCGGCUAACUACGUG
RNAcentral lists this ribosomal RNA (492 nucleotides) under uncultured bacterium. Its description in RNAcentral is "partial 16S ribosomal RNA". It matches the Rfam family "Bacterial small subunit ribosomal RNA", at positions 30 to 507 of the family's 1533-position model. The record is from RNAcentral.